UACGGAGGAUGCGAGCGUUAUCCGGAUUUAUUGGGUUUAAAGGGUGCGUAGGCGGUCGGAUAAGUUAGAGGUGAAAUCCCGAGGCUCAACUUCGGAAUUGCCUCUGAUACUGUUCGGCUAGAGAGUAGUUGCGGUAGGCGGAAUGUAUGGUGUAGCGGUGAAAUGCUUAGAGAUCACACAGAACACCGAUUGCGAAGGCAGCUUUCCAAGCUAUUACUGACGCUGAGGCACGAAAGCGUGGGGAGCGAACAGG
Molecule: ribosomal RNA, 253 nt
Filed under: uncultured Rikenellaceae bacterium
Lineage: Bacteria; Pseudomonadati; Bacteroidota; Bacteroidia; Bacteroidales; Rikenellaceae
Description: partial 16S ribosomal RNA
Rfam family: Bacterial small subunit ribosomal RNA
Source: RNAcentral